This 128-nucleotide transfer-messenger RNA is filed under the name Chitinophagales bacterium. RNAcentral's name for it is "partial transfer-messenger RNA". It matches the Rfam family "transfer-messenger RNA", at positions 236 to 374 of the family's 374-position model. From Rfam's summary of the family: Bacterial tmRNA, also known as 10Sa RNA or SsrA, is named for its dual tRNA and mRNA-like properties. Its role is to liberate the mRNA from a stalled ribosome. Lineage: Bacteria; Pseudomonadati; Bacteroidota; Chitinophagia; Chitinophagales. The record is from RNAcentral.
GAACUAAGGGAAUAUCAAGGGUUUGUUAAGGCGCCCGGUAUUUCACGAAAAUAAAGAAUUAGCUAAGCAUGGAGAAAGCUUGUAAAUGCCUUGUCUGGACGUGGGUUCAAAUCCCACCAGCUCCACUU